UGAAUUGAAGGCACGGGAGGAAAGCUCCGGCACUUUCCGCCUAUUGCAUGACUUGAGCGCGGUCAAUGCCCAGCUUGUACCUUUUGGGGCAGUGCAGCAAGGUGGACCAGUACUGUCAGCCAUACCCAAGGAGUGGCCGUUGGUGGUCAUAGAUCUUAAAGACUGCUUUUUCUCCAUCCCUCUUGCGGAAGAGGAUCGGGAGGCAUUCGCCUUUAC
This is a non-coding RNA of Gallus gallus (chicken), 216 nucleotides long. Lineage: Eukaryota; Metazoa; Chordata; Aves; Galliformes; Phasianidae. The record is from Rfam.